RNAcentral lists this transfer RNA (76 nucleotides) under Agathobacter rectalis. Its description in RNAcentral is "tRNA-Thr". It matches the Rfam family "tRNA". Rfam says of the family: Transfer RNA (tRNA) molecules are approximately 80 nucleotides in length. Their secondary structure includes four short double-helical elements and three loops (D, anti-codon, and T loops). Further hydrogen bonds mediate the characteristic L-shaped molecular structure. tRNAs have two regions of fundamental functional importance: the anti-codon, which is responsible for specific mRNA codon recognition, and the 3' end, to which the tRNAs corresponding amino acid is attached (by aminoacyl-tRNA synthetases). tRNAs cope with the degeneracy of the genetic code in two manners: having more than one tRNA (with a specific anti-codon) for a particular amino acid; and 'wobble' base-pairing, i.e. permitting non-standard base-pairing at the 3rd anti-codon position. The record is from RNAcentral. RNAcentral also lists the same sequence under 4 other names. Lineage: Bacteria; Bacillati; Bacillota; Clostridia; Lachnospirales; Lachnospiraceae.
GCCGAUAUGGCUCAGUAGGUAGAGCGACGCACUCGUAAUGCGUAGGCCACCGGUUCGAUCCCGGUUAUCGGCUUCA